RNAcentral lists this ribosomal RNA (253 nucleotides) under uncultured prokaryote. RNAcentral describes it as "partial 16S ribosomal RNA". It matches the Rfam family "Bacterial small subunit ribosomal RNA", at positions 524 to 776 of the family's 1533-position model. The record is from RNAcentral.
UACGGAGGGAGCUAGCGUUGUUCGGAAUUACUGGGCGUAAAGCGCACGUAGGCGGCCAUUCAAGUCAGAGGUGAAAGCCCCGGGCUCAACCUGGGAAUUGCAUUCGAGACUGCGUGGCUAGGGUGCGGAAGAGGGAAGUGGAAUUUCCGGUGUAGCGGUGAAAUGCGUAGAUAUCGGAAGGAACAUCAGUGGCGAAAGCGACUUCCUGGUCCAGCACCGACGUUCAGGCGCGAAAGCGUGGGGAGCAAACAGG